UUAAGCGACUAAGCGUACACGGUGGAUGCCCUGGCAGUCAGAGGCGAUGAAGGGCGUGCUAAUCUGCGAUAAGCGCCGGUAAGGUGAUAUGAACCGUUAUAACCGGCGAUACCCGAAUGGGGAAACCCAGUGUGAUUCGUCACACUAUCAUUAACUGAAUCCAUAGGUUAAUGAGGCGAACCGGGGGAACUGAAACAUCUAAGUACCCCGAGGAAAAGAAAUCAACCGAGAUUCCCCCAGUAGCGGCGAGCGAACGGGGAGGAGCCCAGAGCCUGAAUCAGCAUGUGUGUUAGUGGAAGCGUCUGGAAAGGUGCGCGAUACAGGGUGACAGCCCCGUACACAAAAGCGCAUGUGCUGUGAGCUCGAUGAGUAGGGCGGGACACGUGGUAUCCUGUCUGAAUAUGGGGGGACCAUCCUCCAAGGCUAAAUACUCCUGACUGACCGAUAGUGAACCAGUACCGUGAGGGAAAGGCGAAAAGAACCCCGGCGAGGGGAGUGAAAAAGAACCUGAAACCGUGUACGUACAAGCAGUGGGAGCACAGGUUUACCUGUGUGACUGCGUACCUUUUGUAUAAUGGGUCAGCGACUUAUAUUCUGUAGCAAGGUUAACCGUAUAGGGGAGCCGGAGGGAAACCGAGUCUUAACCGGGCGUUAAGUUGCAGGGUAUAGACCCGAAACCCGGUGAUCUAGCCAUGGGCAGGUUGAAGGUUGGGUAACACUAACUGGAGGACCGAACCGACUAAUGUUGAAAAAUUAGCGGAUGACCUGUGGCUGGGGGUGAAAGGCCAAUCAAACCGGGAGAUAGCUGGUUCUCCCCGAAAGCUAUUUAGGUAGCGCCUCGUGAAUUCAUCUCCGGGGGUAGAGCACUGUUUCGGCUAGGGGGCCAUCCCGGCUUACCAACCCGAUGCAAACUGCGAAUACCGGAGAAUGUUAUCACGGGAGACACACGGCGGGUGCUAACGUCCGUCGUGAAGAGGGAAACAACCCAGACCGCCAGCUAAGGUCCCAAAGUCAUGGUUAAGUGGGAAACGAUGUGGGAAGGCCCAGACAGCCAGGAUGUUGGCUUAGAAGCAGCCAUCAUUUAAAGAAAGCGUAAUAGCUCACUGGUCGAGUCGGCCUGCGCGGAAGAUGUAACGGGGCUAAACCAUGCACCGAAGCUGCGGCAGCGAACGUAUCACCCAAGACAACUUUACGGAGUUGACGAUUGACGGAGCGAAGCGACGUCAAAGCGUUCAUUAAAGUCGAGUUGGCUUAGGGAUACGUUCGUUGGGUAGGGGAGCGUUCUGUAAGCCUGUGAAGGUGUGUCGUGAGGCAUGCUGGAGGUAUCAGAAGUGCGAAUGCUGACAUAAGUAACGAUAAAGCGGGUGAAAAGCCCGCUCGCCGGAAGACCAAGGGUUCCUGUCCAACGUUAAUCGGGGCAGGGUGAGUCGACCCCUAAGGCGAGGCCGAAAGGCGUAGUCGAUGGGAAACGGGUUAAUAUUCCCGUACUUGGUGUUACUGCGAAGGGGGGACGGAGAAGGCUAUGUUGGCCGGGCGACGGUUGUCCCGGUUUAAGCGUGUAGGUGUGUGUUCCAGGUAAAUCCGGUUCACUUUAACACUGAGGCGUGACGACGAGGCACUACGGUGCUGAAGCAACAAAUGCCCUGCUUCCAGGAAAAGCCUCUAAGCAUCAGGUAACACGAAAUCGUACCCCAAACCGACACAGGUGGUCAGGUAGAGAAUACCAAGGCGCUUGAGAGAACUCGGGUGAAGGAACUAGGCAAAAUGGUGCCGUAACUUCGGGAGAAGGCACGCUGACACGUAGGUGAAGUGAUUUACUCAUGGAGCUGAAGUCAGUCGAAGAUACCAGCUGGCUGCAACUGUUUAUUAAAAACACAGCACUGUGCAAACACGAAAGUGGACGUAUACGGUGUGACGCCUGCCCGGUGCCGGAAGGUUAAUUGAUGGGGUCAGCGUAAGCGAAGCUCCUGAUCGAAGCCCCGGUAAACGGCGGCCGUAACUAUAACGGUCCUAAGGUAGCGAAAUUCCUUGUCGGGUAAGUUCCGACCUGCACGAAUGGCGUAAUGAUGGCCAGGCUGUCUCCACCCGAGACUCAGUGAAAUUGAACUCGCUGUGAAGAUGCAGUGUACCCGCGGCAAGACGGAAAGACCCCGUGAACCUUUACUAUAGCUUGACACUGAACAUUGAGCCUUGAUGUGUAGGAUAGGUGGGAGGCUUUGAAGUGUGGACGCCAGUCUGCAUGGAGCCGACCUUGAAAUACCACCCUUUAAUGUUUGAUGUUCUAACGUGGACCCGUAAUCCGGGUUGCGGACAGUGUCUGGUGGGUAGUUUGACUGGGGCGGUCUCCUCCUAAAGAGUAACGGAGGAGCACGAAGGUUGGCUAAUCCUGGUCGGACAUCAGGAGGUUAGUGCAAUGGCAUAAGCCAGCUUGACUGCGAGCGUGACGGCGCGAGCAGGUGCGAAAGCAGGUCAUAGUGAUCCGGUGGUUCUGAAUGGAAGGGCCAUCGCUCAACGGAUAAAAGGUACUCCGGGGAUAACAGGCUGAUACCGCCCAAGAGUUCAUAUCGACGGCGGUGUUUGGCACCUCGAUGUCGGCUCAUCACAUCCUGGGGCUGAAGUAGGUCCCAAGGGUAUGGCUGUUCGCCAUUUAAAGUGGUACGCGAGCUGGGUUUAGAACGUCGUGAGACAGUUCGGUCCCUAUCUGCCGUGGGCGCUGGAGAACUGAGGGGGGCUGCUCCUAGUACGAGAGGACCGGAGUGGACGCAUCACUGGUGUUCGGGUUGUCAUGCCAAUGGCACUGCCCGGUAGCUAAAUGCGGAAGAGAUAAGUGCUGAAAGCAUCUAAGCACGAAACUUGCCCCGAGAUGAGUUCUCCCUGAGACUUAGAGUCUCCUGAAGGAACGUUGAAGACGACGACGUUGAUAGGCCGGGUGUGUAAGCGCAGCGAUGCGUUGAGCUAACCGGUACUAAUGAACCGUGAGGCUUAACCUU
RNAcentral lists this ribosomal RNA (2990 nucleotides) under Salmonella enterica subsp. enterica serovar Typhimurium. RNAcentral's name for it is "bacterial LSU rRNA". It matches the Rfam family "Bacterial large subunit ribosomal RNA". RNAcentral also lists the same sequence under 2 other names. The record is from RNAcentral. Lineage: Bacteria; Pseudomonadati; Pseudomonadota; Gammaproteobacteria; Enterobacterales; Enterobacteriaceae.